Molecule: non-coding RNA, 45 nt
Organism: Schistosoma curassoni
Lineage: Eukaryota; Metazoa; Platyhelminthes; Trematoda; Strigeidida; Schistosomatidae
Source: Rfam
AUCCAACUGACGAGUCCCAAAUAGGACGAAGCACGUGUCCUGGAU